AAGUCGUAACAAGGUUUCCGUAGGUGAACCUGCGGAAGGAUCAUUACCGAGAGUGACGGACGCCGGCGGCGCCGUCCCGGGGGCCCCGCCCCCGACCUCUUCAACCCUGUGAAUAUUUGCCCUUGUUGCUUCGGCGAGCGUCGAGGCCUUUCGCGCCUCGGCCCCGGCUCCGGCCGGUGAGCUCUCGCCCGAGGCCCUCUCCAUUCGGCUCUACAGUGACGUCCGAGGAUUUGCAAUCAAUAUCAAAACUUUCAACAACGGAUCUCUUGGUUCUG
This 275-nucleotide unclassified non-coding RNA is filed under the name air metagenome. RNAcentral describes it as "partial contains small subunit ribosomal RNA, internal transcribed spacer 1, and 5.8S ribosomal RNA". The stretch from base 1 to 46 matches the Rfam family "Eukaryotic small subunit ribosomal RNA", at positions 1786 to 1831 of the family's 1831-position model. The record is from RNAcentral.